Molecule: ribosomal RNA, 465 nt
Filed under: uncultured bacterium
Lineage: Bacteria
Description: partial 16S ribosomal RNA
Rfam family: Bacterial small subunit ribosomal RNA
Source: RNAcentral
GACGAACGCUGGCGGCGUGCUUAACACAUGCCAGUCGAACGGAAAGGCCUCUUUCGGGGGGUACUCGAGUGGCGAACGGGUGAGUAACACGUGAGUAACCUGCCCUUGACUUUGGGAUAACUUCAGGAAACUGGGGCUAAUACCGGAUAGGAGCUCCUGCUGCAUGGUGGGGGUUGGAAAGUUUCGGCGGUUGGGGAUGGACUCGCGGCUUAUCAGCUUGUUGGUGGGGUAGUGGCUUACCAAGGCUUUGACGGGUAGCCGGCCUGAGAGGGUGACCGGCCAAUUGGGGAUGGGGAAAGGGCCCAAACCCCUCGGGGGGGAAGGGGGGGGGAAUUUUCCAAAAGGGGGGGAACCCGAGUGCACCACCCCCGGGGGGGGAUGACGGCCUUCGGGUUUUAAACCGCUUUCGCUCAUGACGAAGCUUUGUGGGACGGUAGUGGGGAAAGAAGCACCGGCUAACUACGU